This 301-nucleotide ribosomal RNA is filed under the name uncultured bacterium. Its description in RNAcentral is "partial 16S ribosomal RNA". It matches the Rfam family "Bacterial small subunit ribosomal RNA", at positions 509 to 807 of the family's 1533-position model. The record is from RNAcentral.
CAGUCGCCGCGGUAAUACGAAAGGUCCAAGCGUUACUCGGAAUUACUGGGCGUAAAGCGCGCGUAGGCGGUCUUGUAUGUCGAUUGUGAAAGCCCCGGGCUCAACCUGGGAACUGCAGUCGAAACUGCAAGACUUGAAUGUUGGAGAGGUUGGGGGAAUACCUAGUGGAGAAGUGAAAUUCGUAGAGAUUAGGUGGAACACCAGAGGCGAAGGCGCCUGACUGGCCAAACAUUGACGCUAAGGCGCGAAAGCGUGGGUAGCAAACAGGAUUAGAGACCCGCGUAGUCCCUGUCUCUUAUAC